Molecule: long non-coding RNA, 1120 nt
Organism: Monodelphis domestica (gray short-tailed opossum)
Lineage: Eukaryota; Metazoa; Chordata; Mammalia; Didelphimorphia; Didelphidae
Source: RefSeq, a predicted model, not a curated record
AGGACAGGGACAGCAGGAAGCCAGCUAAGGGGCAAAGCUGAAUCUUACACUCCUCCCCCACACUACUUCCUGUCCCUUCCCCAACUGAAUCUAAAGGCUCUUCUCAAGAAUGGUGGUCUGAAAGAGGCUGGCAUGGAUAAAAACAUACAGAGGAGACUCCUGGGUUAUGCACGGUCAUUGACAGAGUGAAUCGACUGGUCGGAGCUUGGCAGAGCCUUCCUGACAUUCAGCAUCCAUAACAUUUCUAAUGCUUCAGUGGCUAAAGAAGCCACAUUAAUAAAAACCCGAGGAAUCCUGAGAAUCAAAGGCUGGAGAUGGUACUGAUGGCUGCUGUGAUGCUUAAACACACACGGAUGAAAUGAAUUGCAUUUUCAAUUUGAGAUGGGGAAGUGGGAUGAGAAACCGAGACACGUGUCACCAGGGACUUUUCAGGCCAUCAUGGGUGAUGGAAAGAGCAGCUUGAAUGCCUUGAACAACUACUGGGUCUCAUGCCUGUUAUGAAAUCAGGCUUUGCCGUCCAUCGAAAAGGAGAUGCUUAUUUAGUAGUAAUUCAUAGCACAAGACAUGGAGCUGAGGAUUUUUGACAGGCUUCUGCAGUUUCCAAAUUAUAGGAGUGUCUUAGAGGCUAAAGGUGGCACCGUUUCUUUUCCCUUGUUUAUUAUCGCCCUGUGAGUAUUUCUAUGUUCAGGUCCCUCAUAUAGAGACAGAUUUUUUUCCCCUCUUUUUUUCCUCCCUGUUCUCAGACUUCAUCCAUUAAAAAGCAAUGGCCUAUCCCUCCAGUGAAGACAGAUUAUUCCUUCACUUGGGAGAUAAACCUCUAAACUGGGUUUGUGUCUACAGCACUUGUGUGUUAUAGAUCUUGUGCCUUCUGAAAGAUGGAUAAUUACAGAUCCCUGGGGAGAUCAGCUAUAUAUAAAAUGCAGUAGUCAUCAGGUUGGGGGAGAGGCUGAUAGGUGUGGGCCACAACGAGAGAAUGAAUAGCUCUCUCGUCUCUGUCAAGCAGGAAAGGAAAAUGGUAAGAACAGACCUCAUUAGAGAAGUUGAGUGGGCAUGUGUGGCUUCCAGUUUCUGGGCAAGUGCUGUUUCUUCCCAGGGAUGAAAUAAAUGCUUGCUUCUGAAA